RNAcentral lists this ribosomal RNA (1372 nucleotides) under uncultured bacterium. RNAcentral's name for it is "bacterial SSU rRNA". It matches the Rfam family "Bacterial small subunit ribosomal RNA", at positions 28 to 1381 of the family's 1533-position model. The record is from RNAcentral.
GAUGAACGCUGGCGGCGUGCCUAAUACAUGCAAGUCGAGCGAACGGACGAGAAGCUUGCUUCUCUGAUGUUAGCGGCGGACGGGUGAGUAACACGUGGAUAACCUACCUAUAAGACUGGGAUAACUUCGGGAAACCGGAGCUAAUACCGGAUAAUAUUUUGAACCGCAUGGUUCAAAAGUGAAAGACGGUCUUGCUGUCACUUAUAGAUGGAUCCGCGCUGCAUUAGCUAGUUGGUAAGGUAACGGCUUACCAAGGCAACGAUGCAUAGCCGACCUGAGAGGGUGAUCGGCCACACUGGAACUGAGACACGGUCCAGACUCCUACGGGAGGCAGCAGUAGGGAAUCUUCCGCAAUGGGCGAAAGCCUGACGGAGCAACGCCGCGUGAGUGAUGAAGGUCUUCGGAUCGUAAAACUCUGUUAUUAGGGAAGAACAUAUGUGUAAGUAACUGUGCACAUCUUGACGGUACCUAAUCAGAAAGCCACGGCUAACUACGUGCCAGCAGCCGCGGUAAUACGUAGGUGGCAAGCGUUAUCCGGAAUUAUUGGGCGUAAAGCGCGCGUAGGCGGUUUUUUAAGUCUGAUGUGAAAGCCCACGGCUCAACCGUGGAGGGUCAUUGGAAACUGGAAAACUUGAGUGCAGAAGAGGAAAGUGGAAUUCCAUGUGUAGCGGUGAAAUGCGCAGAGAUAUGGAGGAACACCAGUGGCGAAGGCGACUUUCUGGUCUGUAACUGACGCUGAUGUGCGAAAGCGUGGGGAUCGAACAGGAUUAGAUACCCUGGUAGUCCACGCCGUAAACGAUGAGUGCUAAGUGUUAGGGGGUUUCCGCCCCUUAGUGCUGCAGCUAACGCAUUAAGCACUCCGCCUGGGGAGUACGACCGCAAGGUUGAAACUCAAAGGAAUUGACGGGGACCCGCACAAGCGGUGGAGCAUGUGGUUUAAUUCGAAGCAACGCGAAGAACCUUACCAAAUCUUGACAUCCUUUGACAACUCUAGAGAUAGAGCCUUCCCCUUCGGGGGACAAAGUGACAGGUGGUGCAUGGUUGUCGUCAGCUCGUGUCGUGAGAUGUUGGGUUAAGUCCCGCAGCGAGCGCAACCCUUAAGCUUAGUUGCCAUCAUUAAGUUGGGCACUCUAAGUUGACUGCCGGUGACAAACCGGAGGAAGGUGGGGAUGACGUCAAAUCAUCAUGCCCCUUAUGAUUUGGGCUACACACGUGCUACAAUGGACAAUACAAAGGGCAGCGAAACCGCGAGGUCAAGCAAAUCCCAUAAAGUUGUUCUCAGUUCGGAUUGUAGUCUGCAACUCGACUACAUGAAGCUGGAAUCGCUAGUAAUCGUAGAUCAGCAUGCUACGGUGAAUACGUUCCCGGGUCU